RNAcentral lists this ribosomal RNA (433 nucleotides) under uncultured bacterium. RNAcentral's name for it is "partial 16S ribosomal RNA". It matches the Rfam family "Bacterial small subunit ribosomal RNA", at positions 29 to 507 of the family's 1533-position model. The record is from RNAcentral.
AACGAACGCUGGCGGCAGGCCUAACACAUGCAAGUCGAGCGAGGACUUCGUUCCUAGCGGCGGACGUGUGAUUACCGCGUGGGAACUUGCCCUUUGCUUCCGAAUCGCCCUGGUAAACUGGGCUUAAUACCGGUUGAGCCCUUUGGGGGAAAGAUUUCUCGGGGAAGGAUCGGCCCGGGUUGGUUUGGGUGGUUGGUGGGGUAAUGGCCUACCAACCCUCGGUUCCUUAGCUGGUUUGAGAGGAUGUACAGCCACAAUGGCAAUGAGGCACGGCCCACAAUCGUAAGGGAGGGAGGAGGGGGGAAACUUAGAGAAUGGGGGAAAACGUGAUCUAGCCAUGCCGGGGGAGAGAGGAAGGCCGUAGGGUUGUAAAGCUCUUUGAGAUGGGAAGAUAAUGACGGUACCAGGAGAAGAAGCCCCGGCUAACUCCGUG